CCCCCACAUUGGUACUGAGACACGGACCAAACUCCUACGGGAGGCAGCAGUGAGGAAUAUUGGUCAAUGGGCGGAAGCCUGAACCAGCCAAGUCGCGUGAAGGAUGAAGGUAUUAUGUAUUGUAAACUUCUUUAGCUGUGGAGAAAUAAGGGGCAUGCAUGCCCUGAUGCUAGUACACAGAGAAUAAGGAUCGGCUAACUCCGUGCCAGCAGCCGCGGUAAUACGGAGGAUCCGAGCGUUAUCCGGAUUCAUUGGGUUUAAAGGGUGCGCAGGCGGCUUCUUAAGUCAGCGGUAAAAUCGCGGGGCUCAACCCCGUCCCGCCGUUGAUACUGGGGAGCUUGAUUACGGUCGAGGCAGGCGGAAUUCGUCGUGUAGCGGUGAAAUGCAUAGAUAUGACGAAGAACACCGAUUGCGUAGGCAGCCUACCAGGCCGUUAAUGACGCUCAUGCACGAAAGUGCGGGGAUCGAACAGGAUUAGAUACCCUGGUAGUCCGCACAGUAAACGAUGAAUACUUGCUUUCGGCGAUAGAUGGUCGGAGGCAAAGCGAAAGCGAUAAGUAUUCCACCAGGGGAGUACGCCGGCAACGGUGAAACUCAAAGGAAUUGACGG
Molecule: ribosomal RNA, 610 nt
Filed under: uncultured bacterium
Lineage: Bacteria
Description: bacterial SSU rRNA
Rfam family: Bacterial small subunit ribosomal RNA
Source: RNAcentral